UGUUAACCUUCCUUCCCGCAGACACUCACCGGGAGGCAGGGGUCCCAGGAAAUCCCUUUAGGGACUCCGCAGUGACAGCACACAAGGCUCUUUGUGACCUAGCGACAGCGCCCAGCACCGUCCUGUCCCCAGGGCUGACAGGUAAUGGGUCAUCAGGAGGACGAUGUGAAAACCUCCCACCGGCUUGGGCCGCAUCCGCAUCCAAUGCCAUUUCUUUGUUCCUUCUUUGGACAGGAGGUCUUGGGCUGUUGAGGGGACUCAAACCCUUUGUCCCCAAGGGAAAGCCAUCCUUCGGCCUGCAUAACCCAAAUGUCCGAGUGUCUUAGGACACAGAUUAUGCACGUAGUCCCUAAGCCACAUGCGUGCGGGAGGGUGCCUGCUGUCCCGCUCAUCAGCGGAGCAAACCGCACGGUCCCCCUUCACUAGUGCUUUGUCUGCUGUUGUUUCCCCAGCCUGAAAAUACGCCCACGCUUAGACGCCAAGGGGUCCGGGCCAGGCAGGGAAUAACUCAUUCUUGUACCCCAAAGCCACGCUAAUCCGAAACAUGACUUGUUUUUCAACAUCUAUUUCUCAUUGUCAGGAAUCCCUGUGCGUCUGGAAGCGAGACUGUCUCAGGAGGGAGCGCAGAUGCUCCAGGUGGAACCCAGAGCCACCCUCGGAAGUGACGACACAGGAAACGGGCAGGCAAGGGGACCGUGCCCUGCCCAGGGGCGGGCAGCACCCACAGACCCAGCAGCGCCUGGGUCUCUACCUGGCUUUCCGCAUCCGAUAGCCUCCACAAGGCCCCAAUGAAUGCUGAGCAGCUUUUGCGUGGCUGGUAUCUGGAACACACUGGACCUUGUGGCUGAUGUUGUUUGAGCGACCUUGUCUCCAACAAUCAUGCUAAAUUUCUUGAUAACCUGGAAGUGGAUUUUUUUGGUCCAGUACUGUGGCCAAGAGAACAUCACCUCCCCAGCCCUGGGCGCACAGACAGGGACCUGGGCCAACAGCACAACGGAAGCAUAGGUUCCUGACACAGGUGGGUGCUGGGCAGGUAGAGACUAUGGGUGACUUUCAGCUCAGUUUGCAGCUGCCUGCGCCUCCCUGAGACAAAACCACCAGAGGUGGACAUACAGGCCCUGCAGGUGCCUGCAGGACUCUGGCUGUCGGAAGCCAGACAAAGGGCCCAGGCCAGGCGCUCCAGAGCUCCUCAGCUGCCCAUCCGCAUCGCCGUGACCGCCAUCCUCUCCGCCGUCUCCUGAGGCGCCGCAGCGAUGCCGGCACCUGCACCAGGGAGCAGCCGUGAGGCCUGAGUGAUGACACAGGGCCACACCCACAGGCGUGCAGGGCACAAUGCUGGCUGUUACUGUGAUGCACGCCUGCGUGUUUCCCAGGCUCAUGAGACCCAGAAAUCCUGCCCUGAUGAACAUCGUGUGAGACUAAUGCUUCCUGGAAUGUAUUUUUGAAAAAUCUGAACAAUGGGAAAACUAAUGGAGUUCGGAGUUGAACUCUAGAUCUUUGGGCGGCUUCCUGCCAUUUUUGGUGUGGGUGGUAUAUUUCAUUAAGCAAAUUUUUUUGUUUUUGGAAAGAAUGCAUGGGUGGUAAAAUACUUCUUUUGUUCUCAAAGUUAAACUGAGUUUGGCUGAGCUUACAACAAGUCUAAAAUUCUUUCUCUCCAAAUCCCUACAUUCACUGCCUUUUAAAUUUAGUGUCACGUAAAGGCUUCAGUGUCAAUCUGAUUCUCUUCUCUCUGUAAGUCACCCUGCCCCCUACAGGGACUGUAGUAUUUUCCUCUACGUGGAACUGAAAGCACAGACGGUUUGCAUGUCUGGGGUCUGGGUCUGCUGCCCCUGGGGUGUGGUUGGGGAACUGUCCUGUGUUAUCCAUCCGGCUGCUGCCCUCCCCAUGCACUUUGCGUAGUCAGCUGUUCCCGUGUUAACGCUGUGUGACAAGCCAGCCCAAACGCCACAGCUGUGGCACGAGCAUGCAUGACCCUGCUCACAGUCAGCGUGGCCUCCAGCUGCAGGGCCGUGUCAGAGGAGGCUCUGCCCACGUGCCCCUCCUGUGACCAGCUGCUGUGGCACAUCGUCCUCAUGGCGACGGAUGGUGUCCAGAGCAGAGCAAGUCUCAUGGGCAAAAUCAGCACCAGUGGGGAGGCAAACAUGCUUUGUCUCGUGGCGGACAGUCCAAAGUCAC
Non-coding RNA from Sus scrofa (pig), 2175 nucleotides. NCBI's taxonomy places the organism in Eukaryota, Metazoa, Chordata, Mammalia, Artiodactyla, Suidae. The record is from RefSeq and is a predicted model, not a curated record.